This 465-nucleotide ribosomal RNA is filed under the name uncultured bacterium. RNAcentral's name for it is "partial 16S ribosomal RNA". It matches the Rfam family "Bacterial small subunit ribosomal RNA", at positions 339 to 795 of the family's 1533-position model. The record is from RNAcentral.
CUACGGGGCGCACCAGUGGGGAAUAUUGGACAAUGGGGGAAACCCUAAUCCAGCAAUGCCGCGUGUGUGAAGAAGGCCUGCGGGUUGUAAAGCACUUUCGGUUGGGAGGACUGCUUCUAGCACUAAUAUUGUUGGAAGUUGACGUUACCUUCAGAAGAAGCACCGGCUAACUCCGUGCCAGCAGCCGCGGUAAUACGGAGGGUGCAAGCGUUAAUCGGAAUUACUGGGCGUAAAGCGCGCGUAGGCGGCUAGAUCAGUCGGGUGUGAAAGCCCCGGGCUUAACCUGGGAACUGCAUCCGAUACUGGCUAGCUUGAGUACAGGAGAGGAGAGUGGAAUUCCACAUGUAGCGGUGAAAUGCGUAGAUAUGUGGAGGAACACCAAUGGCGAAGGCAGCUCUCUGGCCUGAUACUGACGCUGAGGUACGAAAGCGUGGGGAGCAAACAGGAUUAGAUACCCUAGUAGUC